CGUCCUCCUUCUGGAGCCUCACCAGCUCCUAGGGUUCCACCUGGUUCUAUGUAUCAAAAUGUCCCCCCUUACUACUGAGGGUCUGUUGAUUUAGUUUGUUUUUUUCUGGUUGAGGACAAAGGCCUCGCUGUUGAUUUAAAAGUGUAAAAUGUUGCAUGCUCCCAGCGCCCUGAUUUGCUCCAUCAAUUUGUGUAUGUGGCUCACCUUUUUCAUUCUGCUCCACACAAACUCAUGAUCUUUGUUCUGUUUUAGCUAGUCAGCUCCCCCUUAUUGGGUGUAUUCUAGUAAUUUUGCUUGUCCAUUAUGAAUAUUUUACUAUUUGUGAUGUUAUACUUUUAAUCUUACUGUGUAUGUUGUGCAUUCAUUGAUUGAUGCUAUAUUUAGAAUCACCCUAUAUGUUAAAACCUGCCUAUGAGAUUAAUACUUCGGUGUGAAGAAAACAGAAGAAGGUUUUACUUGGCUAAGAUUUAAUGUUAUCUGCAGUCUAAUUGUAUCCAGUAAUCAAAUUUUGACUUGGUACAUAUAACUUAAUAAUGCAUUAUGCACAUAUAAUUUGUGUGAUAUAGGAUAAUAAAUGAUUAUUAUUAUUAUUAAAGUACAUGCAUAUGUUUAAUAUACUGGUGUAUGGUUAUAAGAGUUGCAUAUCUUACAGAACCUCAUCAUUUGAGGUAGUUAGACAAUGGUCUCAACACUCUCAUCCUUCUGGCUCACAUUUUUCUUUUGGGUUUGUAAACACAUCACUAUAUAUUGCCAAGAAUGUUGUGUCUUCAUUCGAAUGUAAUUUAAGUUCAGAUAAUCAAGUGCCCAUAAAUUUUGAAAUGUUGUAGUUACAUUUGAAUUGAAAAGUCCUACAUAGAAGUCUAGAUCGAGUAUUUUGAGAUGAUUCCCAUUGUUGAAGGGUAGAGUUUGUGGUCUCUUUUGGGAGAAAAGUAGUAAUUCCUUUCGCAAUUGGAUAUUCCCUUCAAAACUAGGUGUUGGUCGAUGUGAUAGACAUACUUCAAUACUGUACUUAUUCUUAUUUGGCAUAAAUAGUAUUUUUUGUAUUUUACAUCAUAAAAAAAA
This 1062-nucleotide long non-coding RNA is filed under the name Lupinus mutabilis. RNAcentral describes it as "partial ncRNA". The record is from RNAcentral. Lineage: Eukaryota; Viridiplantae; Streptophyta; Magnoliopsida; Fabales; Fabaceae.